RNAcentral lists this unclassified non-coding RNA (389 nucleotides) under Hevea brasiliensis (rubber tree). The record is from RNAcentral. Lineage: Eukaryota; Viridiplantae; Streptophyta; Magnoliopsida; Malpighiales; Euphorbiaceae.
UCAAAAAAAAAAAAAAAAAACUUUCUGGAUUCUUCUCCUCACCUGACCUUUCUAGCUCAAUUUCACAGUGACACCCACCGAGCUAAAAAAAUCUCAGCUUCUUCUUGCUGAAGGAAGCACCACACCUGUCACACUUACCCUUUUUCACAUGCACACUCUUCUUGCCCUAUUCAGAUAUACCCACAUAGGGAGAACAUAGUGAUUUUGUAUAUUUCUAACCCAUCUGUUUUCUAAACACACCACCAACUGAUAAGUGAAAACAUCGCAUCCAAUUUCUUCCUCAACGACAUAGCCUUUGUUGGAUUCUUCGUGGGGUUCGUACAAUGUCAGGGUCCGGUGGGGUUUCGAUUGCCCGAGCUCGCGGUGAGAACCGAUUCUAUGUUUCUCCG